RNAcentral lists this transfer RNA (71 nucleotides) under Marmota monax (woodchuck). RNAcentral describes it as "tRNA.Ala". The record is from RNAcentral. Lineage: Eukaryota; Metazoa; Chordata; Mammalia; Rodentia; Sciuridae.
GAGGUUGUGGCUCAGUGGUAGAGUGCUUGCCUAGCACAUGCAAGGCCCUGGGUUCGAUCCUCAGCACCACA